Molecule: long non-coding RNA, 1826 nt
Organism: Fukomys damarensis (Damara mole-rat)
Lineage: Eukaryota; Metazoa; Chordata; Mammalia; Rodentia; Bathyergidae
Source: Ensembl
CGGUGUGCCUGGCCCAGCGGGGAGGGCGCUCAGGCGCGGGGCAAAGGAGGGACCCGGCAGGCGGGAGCUAGGACGGGGACCCUGCUGGGCCCAGCGCAUCAGUUGAUGGCGUCUGCCCAUCCCAGCCGGUGUUGCCUAGCUGGAGGCAGUGUCCAGUUGCGACACCAGAGACACCAGGGACACCAAGGGCCCCAUUGUCCCAGCGAGGCAUGGUCUGCACUCUCGGUUCCUGGGGACAUUUGUCAAGUGUAUGGUUCCUCUGCCAGACCUGGGGCCCAUCAUCUGCUGACCUUGGGGAGGGAGGAAGGAGGGCAGUGGAGGAAAAGCAGCCAGCCCUCUGUCCAACCACCAGAAGCACACAUCCGGGUGACAGAAGUCGCCUAUCUGAUCUGUCCACCUCCAUCCUCACCACCUCUUAGUGUGCUUGGGCACGGUCACCACUUCCUCUUCUCCGAACCUUCCAUGGCUCCCACCGCGGUCAGAACAGAGUUCCAACUCCUUCUCAGUUAACUCUGCUGUUUCCACCAGACUAAUGGAAUCUGAAGCCUGAACGUUUCCAUCUCAUCUCCUUCGAGUACGUAAUUUACACACCGUAUAUCGGGGCAGCCUUCGGAACUCUUCCCAUAAAAUCCCAGAAAUGAGAGCCACCUGUACAGCAGACAGCCUGGAUUCUGGGUGCCCGGCCGUUUUGGGGCAGGAGAAAUCAGGAUCAAGACACUCCAGUCUCCCAUCGGGACCCAGAACCAAGAGGACGAGUGCCAGAACGUGAAACCUGGGGCUCCUGCCACUCCCGGCCACCACAGACGGCGGCGCCUCCAGUAAUGGUGAUGGCGCGCCCCGCGGCACUCAGGGACUCCGAAUGCCUCGAGUGGGAAACGCGCCCCAGGACUCUGUGGACACUCAGGAACAAAGGCCGGGUAAGGAGAAAGUGCCUGGCCCUGGUGGAAGGCCGAGGUUAGGGAGGCGCAGCCACAGACUGGGAGCAGGAACACCUCCGCCCUCCUCUCCCUCCGCCGCCCGCAUACCUCCGCCGCAGCCGAGCAAAAGUACCCGACGCGGAAGUUGCGACGGCCAGGGACCACCCCAGUUCCGGGAACAGCUCUGUGAGCUGCGCUUCGUCGCCUAGGUAACUGGGAAAGGCGCGCCUGCCUCAGGGUCCAAGGGACUCAAACUACGCCACCCGCGCCUUUGCAAGGCUGACGAAUGAGAAUCUAGGAAAAACGGUUGUGGGCGUGUCCUAGCACUAUGGCCCAAUGAGGGCCUUCGGGUGGGGCUUCAUUAAAUUGCUAAUUUUUCCAGGCUGGCAUGACCUUUGAUCUUCCUGCCUCAGCUUCCCGGAGUCCUGGGAUUACAGGUUUGUUCUACCUCACCUGGCUCCAGGACAGUCCUUGAUCUUUUUUUUUCAUUGGAGGUGGAAAAUUCUGCUGAACCCAUUCCCAAUAGGUGAAGCAGUUGCAGGUAUAGAGCUCACUUUCGGGUUGUAUGUCCCCAAUCUAAGUAGCUUCAACAAAAGUAAUUACUGGUACACGAAACCCAAAAAACCCACUUGGCAUCUGCCUUCAGGUACUAAAUAGAUCUGGGGCUCAAAUUCUUAAGCCCCGUUCACUGACCUUCACUCAACUUUUCUCUGCAGCAAUUCAUGGGCAGGGCUCCCUGGAGAGUUAUGCCAGCAGCCCAACUCAUAGAUAUCUAAGGUCAUAGGGACAUGGCUUUGGAUAUUCUGAUGCCCGCACGUACACAGAAAAAGCCCCAGAGGCUGGAGAUGUAGUUCAGGGGCACCGCAGCUGCCUCACAAGUGCAAGGUCCUGAGUUCAAUACCCAGCACA